UGCAUCGGCCGGGAAUCGAACCUGGACCACCCGCCUGGCAAGCAGGCAUUCUACCACUGAACCACUGAUGG
Molecule: transfer RNA, 71 nt
Filed under: Cordylochernes scorpioides
Lineage: Eukaryota; Metazoa; Arthropoda; Arachnida; Pseudoscorpiones; Chernetidae
Description: tRNA-Gly
Source: RNAcentral